CGACCUCAGGUCAGGCAAGACAACCCGCUGAGUUUAAGCAUAUCACUAAGCGGAGGAAAAGAAACUAACAAGGAUUUCCCUAGUAGCGGCGAGCGAAACGGAAAGAGCCCAGCUUGGAAAUCGGGGUGUCUCUGCACCCCGAAUUGUAGUCUGGAGAAGGGUCCUCUGCAGCGGACCGGGUUUAAGUCCCUUGGAACGGGACGCCAGAGAGGGUGAGAGCCCCGUCUAGCCCGGACCCUGCUGCAUCACGAGGCUCUUUCGGCGAGUCGGGCUGUUUGGGAAUGCAGCCUUAAGUGGGUGGUAAAUUCCAUCCAAGGCUAAAUACUGGUGAGAGACCGAUAGCGCACAAGUACCGCGAGGGAAAGAUGAAAAGGACUUUGAAAAGAGAGUUAAAAAGUGCUUGAAAUUGCUGGGAGGGAAGCGAAUGGAUGCCUUGUGCGCCCCUUGGUUGUGUGUGGAACGGCGAGAGCUGGUCUGCCAAGCAAUGCAAGGGGCUGUCCAGCAUGGGAGGACGCGGCGGGAUAACGGCUUGUGAGCCUCUGGCUCCCUGCCAAUGCCGCCGCUGCCUCUGAAAAUGGUGGGGUGCUCCGGUGCCCCGCCAGAUGCUGGAACUUGGGCGUUCCAUCCGACCCGUCUUGAAACACGGACCAAGGAGUCUAACAUGUAUGCGAGUCUGUGGGUGCUAAACCCGUACAGGCGAAAGGAAACUAAUUCGUGGGAUCCCCUUCGGGGGUGCACCACGGACCGACCUUGAUCUUUUGAGAAGGGUUUAAGUGUUAGCAUACCUGCUGGGACCCGAAAGAUGGUGAACUAUGCCUGAGCAGGGCGAAGCCAGAGGAAACUCUGGUAGAGGCUCGUAGCGAUACUGACGUGCAAAUCGUUCGUCAGACUUGGGUAUAGGGGCGAAAGACUAAUCGAACCAUCUAGUAGCUGGUACCCUCCGAAGUUUCCCUCAGGAUAGCUGGAGCUCUUGCUGAGUUUUAUCGGGUAAAGCGAAUGAUUAGAGGCAUCGGGGGUGAAACACCCUCGACCUAUUCUCAAACUUUAAAUAGGUAAAGCAGCCGGGGUUGCUCUGUUGAGCCCCGGCCGUGAAUGCGAGCUCCAAGUGGGCCAUUUUUGGUAAGCAGAACUGGCGAUGCGGGAUGAACCGAAGCCGGGCUAC
This 1162-nucleotide non-coding RNA is filed under the name Selaginella moellendorffii. Its description in RNAcentral is "Eukaryotic large subunit ribosomal RNA". It matches the Rfam family "Eukaryotic large subunit ribosomal RNA", at positions 1 to 1183 of the family's 3401-position model. Lineage: Eukaryota; Viridiplantae; Streptophyta; Lycopodiopsida; Selaginellales; Selaginellaceae. The record is from Rfam by way of RNAcentral.